Molecule: non-coding RNA, 711 nt
Organism: Rattus norvegicus (Norway rat)
Lineage: Eukaryota; Metazoa; Chordata; Mammalia; Rodentia; Muridae
Source: RefSeq, a predicted model, not a curated record
GAGAACUAAAGCGACCCAGGGUGCAGCGGGCGCGGCUCCGGGCAUGCGCGGCGACUUCCCGCCGAGCGCCCCGCGGCCACGGUUGUGCUCCGGUCGCCGCCAGGCUCCCGGAGUACCGGGGCCGACCGCGGAGGUACUACUGCAUGAGCACUUGUACUAUGAAGUACUAUAUAUUUUGUAGCUUGUGGAAACCAGUCAAGUAGUCAGAAGUUACAGACCAAGGAAAAUUAAUAAAAGAGAAAAAAGAGUAUAUUGUUGACUUACGGUGCGUUUAUUUAGUUGGCACAUCAAAAAUUUCAUUUAAGAAGUCAGAAUUUUCAUCAAAAGGUCGUGUGUUAUAUGGCUGUGCAAAUAUGGGUUCUCAAGAUGGGAGAGAACAAAAGGAUGAAAAUGAGUCUCCAAAGAGAUGUCAUAUAAAUCCGGAUGAAGAAUGUGGCAAGGACAAGCCCCCUGAGGGAAGGAAGAGGGACAGAAAACGGGACAAUGUCUACAAUGAAGAAUGGCUAAUAGUGACAGAAACUGUGUUCACCCAGGAAAUGUUCAGAACCUCCGUGAACUGUCAUUCACCCAAAAGUGAGGCUAUCAAGUGUGGUAGGAAACAAACCUUAAUCCAAGCACUUAGGAGGGAGAGUAAACGGAUCUCCACGAGUUCAAGACCCGCUUACUCUUCAUACUGAGCUCCAGGCCUGCCAAGGCUACAGCAGGAAGAAA